AUGUCCGCGCCAUGGGACACCCCCUGCUUUCCACGGGCGCUGCGGCUACGCUUGCGGCGUGCGCCCUCUCCGGGAGGGCGUAAAGCCGACAGCCGUCGCAACCACGGGAGCACCUCCAUG
Molecule: small RNA, 120 nt
Filed under: Streptomyces mobaraensis
Lineage: Bacteria; Bacillati; Actinomycetota; Actinomycetes; Kitasatosporales; Streptomycetaceae
Description: Streptomyces-metH RNA
Rfam family: Streptomyces-metH RNA
Source: Rfam by way of RNAcentral